RNAcentral lists this transfer RNA (86 nucleotides) under Pseudolabrys sp. RNAcentral's name for it is "tRNA-Leu". It matches the Rfam family "tRNA". From Rfam's summary of the family: Transfer RNA (tRNA) molecules are approximately 80 nucleotides in length. Their secondary structure includes four short double-helical elements and three loops (D, anti-codon, and T loops). The record is from RNAcentral. Lineage: Bacteria; Pseudomonadati; Pseudomonadota; Alphaproteobacteria; Hyphomicrobiales; Xanthobacteraceae. RNAcentral also lists the same sequence under 1 other name.
GCGGACGUGGUGGAAUGGUAGACACUAGGGACUUAAAAUCCCUUGGGAGUAAUCCCGUCCGGGUUCGAGUCCCGGCGUCCGCACCA